This 83-nucleotide ribosomal RNA is filed under the name Prevotella sp. P4-51. The record is from RNAcentral. Lineage: Bacteria; Pseudomonadati; Bacteroidota; Bacteroidia; Bacteroidales; Prevotellaceae.
UCAGGCGGUUAUUGCGGUGGGGUCCCACCUCUUCCCAUUCCGAACAGAGAAGUUAAGCCCACUUGCGCCGAUGGUACUGCAAU